RNAcentral lists this ribosomal RNA (383 nucleotides) under uncultured eukaryote. RNAcentral describes it as "partial 18S ribosomal RNA". It matches the Rfam family "Eukaryotic small subunit ribosomal RNA", at positions 592 to 976 of the family's 1831-position model. The record is from RNAcentral.
CAAUAGCGUAUAUUAAAGUUGUUGCAGUUAAAAAGCUCGUAGUUGGAUUUCUGGUGGGAGCGAUCGGUCUGGCGCUUAGCGCGAGUACUUGCAUCGUCUCCGGCCAUCCUUGGGGAGAGUCUGUCUGGCAUUAAGUUGUCGGGUAGAGGAUCCUCAUCGUUUACUGUGAAAAAAUUAGAGUGUUCAAAGCAGGCUUAUGCCGUUGAAUAUAUUAGCAUGGAAUAAUAAGAUAGGACUUUGGUACUAUUUUGUUGGUUUGCGCACCAAAGUAAUGAUUAAUAGGGACAGUUGGGGGUAUUCGUAUUCCGUUGUCAGAGGUGAAAUUCUUGGAUUUACGGAAGACGAACUACUGCGAAAGCAUUUACCAAGGAUGUUUUCAUUAA